Molecule: ribosomal RNA, 253 nt
Filed under: uncultured bacterium
Lineage: Bacteria
Description: partial 16S ribosomal RNA
Rfam family: Bacterial small subunit ribosomal RNA
Source: RNAcentral
GACGAACCGUGCGAACGUUGUUCGGAAUCACUGGGCUUAAAGGGCGCGUAGGCGGGCGGCCGCGUCCGGGGUGAAAUCCCACGGCUCAACCGUGGAACGGCCUCGGAUACGGGCGGGCUCGAGGGGGGUAGGGGCAUCUGGAACUGUGAGUGGAGCGGUGAAAUGCGUUGAUAUUCACAGGAACUCCGGUGGCGAAGGCGAGGUGCUGGACCCCAUCUGACGCUGAGGCGCGAAAGCCAGGGGAGCGAACGGG